CCCUUUUUUUUAAAAAACAAUCAGAGAGCUUUUUGCUCUCUCCCUUACCCUUUCUAUUUCCUUUGCUUGGCCAACUCAAGGGCCUCAUCGGCGUCCCGCGCGCCUCCACGCAUCGUGGCUCAUGGCUCGGGAAUGAUGAGAACAAAAGGCGUCCCUUGGCCCGAUAUGCACGCCGGAGAAAGGAGGCUCCGAUGACGGAAAGGUGCCAUGCGACGCGUGGAAGAGGCGACGGUUAGGGGCGUGGUGGCCGAGGCGGCAUGCGUGGGAAGGCCAAUGGUGGAAGCGGUGGCUAAAGAAGGGGGAGCGGCUGGAGGCUUGGGGCUUGCUGAAAAUUUUUAAGAUUAGCUGGGUUAGGGUUUAGUUUUAGGCCUAUUGGGUUUGGGCUUGUAAAAUUAUUUGUUGGGCUGUUAUAUUUUAUUUGUUUAUGGGCCCGGGCAACAUUGGGCUUGUACAUUUUUAAUCUAAUUUUUUUAAUUCAAUUUAAUUUUAGUUAAAA
Molecule: long non-coding RNA, 496 nt
Organism: Gossypium arboreum
Lineage: Eukaryota; Viridiplantae; Streptophyta; Magnoliopsida; Malvales; Malvaceae
Exons: 2
Source: RefSeq, a predicted model, not a curated record